RNAcentral lists this long non-coding RNA (204 nucleotides) under Mytilus galloprovincialis (Mediterranean mussel). The record is from RNAcentral. Lineage: Eukaryota; Metazoa; Mollusca; Bivalvia; Mytilida; Mytilidae.
UUUGUUAAAGGUCUUGGACUUGUUGAUUUGUCAAAAAUCUCUUAAUGAGCAUCUUGCAUCUUUUUCUUAUAUAGGUAUUCUAUAUCAAGAUCUCCAAUACCUUUUGAUUACAAGGUCAAAGGUCAAUGUCACAGUGAGAAUUACUGAAUAGAAUUUUAACUAAGUUUGGAACAAUAGUUACUAUGAGAUCCCACAUAAGUUUUG